CCCCCGGUAGCUCAGUUUUGGUAGAGAGCGCUGGUCUGAAAAAUACUCUUGUCGUCGGUUCGAUUCCGACCUGGGGGA
RNAcentral lists this transfer RNA (78 nucleotides) under Tolypothrix sp. PCC 7910. Its description in RNAcentral is "tRNA-Phe". It matches the Rfam family "tRNA". Rfam says of the family: Transfer RNA (tRNA) molecules are approximately 80 nucleotides in length. The record is from RNAcentral. Lineage: Bacteria; Bacillati; Cyanobacteriota; Cyanophyceae; Nostocales; Tolypothrichaceae. RNAcentral also lists the same sequence under 1 other name.